CAAGAACUUCAGCUGAUAUUGCUCCUCCAUAUAGACACAACCAAGGGGAUGUGCUUUCGAAUGGACCCAAGAAUCCACCAAUCUGCUCCCAAGGGGACAUCUUCAUUUGUAUGGGACAAACAUCACAGUAAUUCAUGAAGUUUAAAGUUUGAAGCCUGAUCCUCAAUCUGGAUUAGAAUGUCUGCUGAGACAGGGUACAAAGGUGGAUAUUCAUCAAAAGCUGACUAAAGUUCAUUGCAUCUAUGAUUUCUGAUAAAUGCC
Molecule: long non-coding RNA, 261 nt
Filed under: Sarcophilus harrisii (Tasmanian devil)
Lineage: Eukaryota; Metazoa; Chordata; Mammalia; Dasyuromorphia; Dasyuridae
Description: lncRNA (ENSSHAG00000024678.1)
Source: RNAcentral